RNAcentral lists this non-coding RNA (90 nucleotides) under Smithella sp. RNAcentral's name for it is "c-di-GMP sequence". It matches the Rfam family "c-di-GMP-I riboswitch aptamer". Rfam says of the family: GEMM was predicted in a large-scale screen for bacterial structured RNA regulatory elements. Genes associated with GEMM are involved in a diverse array of functions, including chemotaxis regulation, signal transduction, secretion and chitin. Lineage: Bacteria; Pseudomonadati; Thermodesulfobacteriota; Syntrophia; Syntrophales; Smithellaceae. The record is from RNAcentral.
GCCUGAUAAAGGCAAACCGUACUGAAAAGACGGGACGCAAAGUUACUGGCCUAAGUCUUAAUUGUGAGAUAGGGUAGCAGAACAGCCGGG